RNAcentral lists this ribosomal RNA (263 nucleotides) under uncultured bacterium. RNAcentral describes it as "partial 16S ribosomal RNA". It matches the Rfam family "Bacterial small subunit ribosomal RNA", at positions 524 to 787 of the family's 1533-position model. The record is from RNAcentral.
UACGUAGGGGGCGAGCGUUAUCCGGAUUUAUUGGGCGUAAAGCGUGUGUAGGCGGUUUGUUAAGUUUGAGAUUAAAGCCCGGGGCUUAACCCCGGUUCGUCUCAAAAACUGGCAGACUUGAGUGUAGUAGAGGCAAGUGGAAUUUCUAGUGUAGCGGUUAAAUGCGUAGAUAUUAGAAGGAACACCAGUGGCGAAGGCGGCUUGCUGGGCUAUCACUGACGCUGAGACACGAAAGCGUGGGGAGCAAAUAGGAUUAGAUACCC